CAAUAGCGUAUAUUAAAGUUGUUGCAGUUAAAAAGCUCGUAGUUGGAUUUCUGGUUGAAGCGACCGGUCGGGCGUUGAUUCGUCUGCACUGGAGUCGGUUUUGGCCAUCCUCUAGGAAAGUGCGUCUGGUAUUAAGUUAUCGGGCGUAUGAUCCUGGUCUUUUACUGUGAAAAAAUUAGAGUGUUUAUAGCAGGCCUUCGCCUUGAAUACAUUAGCAUGGAAUAAUAAGAUAGGACUUUGGUCUAUUUUGUUGGUUUGCAGACCGAAGUAAUGAUUAAUAGGGAUAGUUGGGGGUAUUUAUAUUCCGAUGUCAGAGGUGAAAUUCUUAGAUUUUCGGAAGAUAAACUUAUGCGAAAGCAUUUACCAAGGAUGUUUNCAUUAA
RNAcentral lists this ribosomal RNA (382 nucleotides) under uncultured eukaryote. RNAcentral's name for it is "partial 18S ribosomal RNA". It matches the Rfam family "Eukaryotic small subunit ribosomal RNA", at positions 592 to 976 of the family's 1831-position model. The record is from RNAcentral.